RNAcentral lists this long non-coding RNA (918 nucleotides) under Homo sapiens (human). Its description in RNAcentral is "HSALNT0292917". Lineage: Eukaryota; Metazoa; Chordata; Mammalia; Primates; Hominidae. The record is from RNAcentral.
CUAUUCUGGUGACCCAUUCACAUAUAGCAUCUAAUCUGUGACUUCCAGCGAAGGGAAAGAGUCAAUUCCAUACUCCUGUGAUGCUCUCAUUUGGGACUGGUGUCCAACAGAGCAGGUAAACUCUGUGAGAGAGUGCAUCAGAUCUUGGGUAAGCCAGCCAGCUUCUCUCUGUUCCAUGACUACAGAUCUCAGCUUGAUGCCCAGCCUAUGCAGGUUGAGUAUCCCUUAUCUGAAAUGCUUGGGACCAGAAGUGUUUCAGAUUUUGGAUUUUUUUUCAGGUAUUGGAAUAUUUGCAUAUACUUACUUGUUGAGCAUGCCAAAUUUAAAAAUCUGAAGCUCAAAAUGCUCCAAUGAGCCUUUCUUUUGUGCAUCAUGUUGGCACCCAAAAUGUUUCAGAUUUUGGAGCAUUUCAGAAUUGCGGUUUUUGGAUUUGAGAUGCUUCAUCUGUACUUGCUUCUGGUCAUAGUGUAUGAAUGAGGUGGUGCUGGACGUUUGAUAAACUGAGGAGUGAGUUAAGUACUAUCAGUUGUUACAAUAAUGGAUCAAUUAAUUAUCAAUUGUGUUUUUGACUGUAAGAAACAGAAGACCCAAGUCAACUUUUAUUACUUGAAGGCAAAUAGUUCUACUGUGGUCAUGGAAAGGCUACUGAGCUUCUUUUAGUUCAGUUUUCCAAUAUCCUAAAUCAGGGUAAUAAUGCUACCAUCCUUCUAGAUUUGUCAUAAUGUUUCUUACUGUAAGAGAUUAGCCUUAGACUCCAAAGAAGUGUGCUCAACUCCUUUCCCCGCCUCUUACUAGCUACAGUAAUCUAAUCUAAUUCUUCCCGAGACUCACCUGCAGAAUGGAAUUAACAAUACCUUCCUCAAAAGAUGUUGUGAGUGACCAAUAAGAUUUACUGGUAGGUAGGAUUGCACAGGGGGC